UUUUUCUUUCAUUUCUUUUUUUCGGUUCUCAAUUUCAUUCCAUAUUUGCUCAUUUUCUUGCAUCAACAUUUCUUGUCUUUCUUUUCUUCUAUUUUCUUUGUCUUUUUACCUCGUUCUUUCUUUACAAUUUAAAGAUGAUACGAAUGAGUUGGAUCGACAAAAUUUUCAUUCAAAGGAUGGGAAAGCAUCUACAAAGUGGUCACGAUCAGCUCUUCGUGGAGUAUUUCUCCGUGGAUGAACGCCUUGAUGCACCUGAAGAGAUAUAUCUUCCUUCUUAUGUGUCAUCU
RNAcentral lists this long non-coding RNA (287 nucleotides) under Gossypium raimondii (Peruvian cotton). Its description in RNAcentral is "long non-coding RNA (GRAI_LNC002702)". The record is from RNAcentral. Lineage: Eukaryota; Viridiplantae; Streptophyta; Magnoliopsida; Malvales; Malvaceae.